Molecule: ribosomal RNA, 254 nt
Filed under: uncultured bacterium
Lineage: Bacteria
Description: partial 16S ribosomal RNA
Rfam family: Bacterial small subunit ribosomal RNA
Source: RNAcentral
CACGUAGGGUGCAAGCGUUGUCCGGAAUUAUUGGGCGUAAAGAGCUCGUAGGCGGUUCGUCGCGUCGGCUGUGAAAUCCCGAGGCUCAACCUCGGGUCUGCAGUCGAUACGGGCGGACUGGAGUUCGGCAGGGGAGACUGGAAUUCCUGGUGUAGCGGUGAAAUGCGCAGAUAUCAGGAGGAACACCGGUGGCGAAGGCGGGUCUCUGGGCCGAUGACUGACGCUGAGACGCGAAAGCGUGGGGAGCAAACAGG